UACGUAGGUGACAAGCGUUGUCCGGAUUUACUGGGCGUAAAGAGCGCGCAGGCGGUCGUUCAAGUCGAGUGUGAAAGCCCCCGGCUCAACUGGGGAGGGUCAUUCGAUACUGAUCGACUCGAAGGCAGGAGAGGGUAGUGGAAUUCCCGGUGUAGUGGUGAAAUGCGUAGAUAUCGGGAGGAACACCAGUGGCGAAGGCGGGUCUCUGGGCCGAAACUGACGCUGAGGAGCGAAAGCGUGGGGAGCGAACAGG
Molecule: ribosomal RNA, 253 nt
Filed under: uncultured bacterium
Lineage: Bacteria
Description: partial 16S ribosomal RNA
Rfam family: Bacterial small subunit ribosomal RNA
Source: RNAcentral